UCCCGUUUAUCACGGGCAGUUCCCUUAGAGUGCCCGGCAUUACCCGCUGGCAACUAAGGGCGAGGGUUGCGCUCGUUGCGGGACUUAACCCAACAUCUCACGACACGAGCUGACGACAGCCAUGCAGCACCUGUCUCCGGUCCAGCCGAACUGAAGAGCUCCAUCUCUGGUGCUCGCGACCGGGAUGUCAAAGGCUGGUAAGGUUCUGCGCGUUGCUUCGAAUUGAACCACAUGCUCCACCGCUUGUGCAGGCCCCCGUCAAUUCCUUUGAGUUUCGGUCUUGCGACCGUACUCCCCAGGCGGAAUGCUUAAAGCGUUAGCUGCGCCACUAGUGAGUAAACCCACUAACGGCUGGCAUUCAUCGUUUACGGCGUGGACUAC
Molecule: unclassified non-coding RNA, 381 nt
Filed under: uncultured Alphaproteobacteria bacterium
Lineage: Bacteria; Pseudomonadati; Pseudomonadota; Alphaproteobacteria
Description: contains 16S-23S intergenic spacer region
Source: RNAcentral